RNAcentral lists this ribosomal RNA (541 nucleotides) under Methylobacterium sp. RNAcentral describes it as "bacterial SSU rRNA". It matches the Rfam family "Bacterial small subunit ribosomal RNA", at positions 105 to 681 of the family's 1533-position model. The record is from RNAcentral. Lineage: Bacteria; Pseudomonadati; Pseudomonadota; Alphaproteobacteria; Hyphomicrobiales; Methylobacteriaceae.
GGUGAGUAACACGUGGGAACGUACCCUUUGGUUCGGGACAACUCUGGGAAACUGGAGCUAAUACCGGAUACGCCCUUUUGGGGAAAGGUUUACUGCCGAAGGAUCGGCCCGCGUCUGAUUAGCUAGUUGGUGGGGUAACGGCCUACCAAGGCGACGAUCAGUAGCUGGUCUGAGAGGAUGAUCAGCCACACUGGGACUGAGACACGGCCCAGACUCCUACGGGAGGCAGCAGUGGGGAAUAUUGGACAAUGGGCGCAAGCCUGAUCCAGCCAUGCCGCGUGAGUGAUGAAGGCCUUAGGGUUGUAAAGCUCUUUUAUCCGGGACGAUAAUGACGGUACCGGAGGAAUAAGCCCCGGCUAACUUCGUGCCAGCAGCCGCGGUAAUACGAAGGGGGCUAGCGUUGCUCGGAAUCACUGGGCGUAAAGGGCGCGUAGGCGGCGUUUUAAGUCGGGGGUGAAAGCCUGUGGCUCAACCACAGAAUGGCCUUCGAUACUGGGACGCUUGAGUCUGGUAGAGGUUGGUGGAACUGCGAGUGUAGAGG